Molecule: long non-coding RNA, 1253 nt
Filed under: Salvia miltiorrhiza (redroot sage)
Lineage: Eukaryota; Viridiplantae; Streptophyta; Magnoliopsida; Lamiales; Lamiaceae
Description: long non-coding RNA (SMIL_LNC006458)
Source: RNAcentral
CUAUCUAUUCUACGACAGCAUGAACUAACAAAAAAAAAUGUAGAAACCAAGAACUUCUUAAUUAAUUAAAUACUUUAGAUAUUUUUUGAUUGUUGCCAUACAAGUUUAAUGAUGAUUGGUAUGCGCGGUGCUUCUCAAGUGUUCAGUUCAAAUUUUGUACUAUUACGUAAUUUGAGUUAAGAAGAUAGUCCUUUAUGCUUGAGUUUUAUGGGAUUUGUGGCUGAAAUCUUCCAGAAACUGCUAUUGUAUGUCACUGUGGUAUAAUUUUUAGUAUAGGUUUUGUUAGAUUUGCUUUAUUAGCUGCAGUUUAUAAUAGUACGAGAAAUCCAAUCGCUCACAAUUAUCUUGCCACCAUAUGAAGCAGGGAUCUGGACAUUUGUAGUUAACUUUUUAAUAAUUUGAUAUGUGAAGUGUUUAUCCUAUCUGCACUAUAAUAGCUUUUCCUAGACUAAGAUGAUUGGUCUUCCUUAAUUCCUUAAUUUACUAUCUGCACUAUAAUAGCUUUGUCUAUGUGGAAAGCCUACACUUUUUAGAAUUGAGGUUUCUGAUGCUUCAUAGUAUACUUACUAAACUGCUCGUGCAUGAGUUUUUUGAGGAACAUGCUUUCUUUUUCUUUCUUUCUUUUUUACUCGAUUUCUUUGUAUAAUAAUGAAAUACUUGUUUACUUUUUCUUUCUUUUUUACUCGAUUUCGGUCAAGCUUUAUUAGUUGAAAUGCAUCUCAAUGCAGGAAACAUGGAUAAAGAGGAACAGGGUGUUUACUGUUUUAUUAGCUUCAUUUUUGAUGAAAUAGACAAUAUAUAGCUGUAACUUGUAAACCCUCUCUUUCAGAAUUAGAAUUAUAGUAGGCUCUUACAGUUCUAUGACCCGAAAGAUGUAUAUUUACUCUUCUUUAUGUCCUGUAAUGCAAGAUACUGGUUUCAGUGUUGCUGCAAGUUACUUAAACGAUACUCCUGCUCUGAAGAAGGCUGAUAUUGGAAGUGCCGUUCCUUUUCAGAUCGUCGUUCGUCUGUCCGUCGGCAACUCACGCACACCGCACACGGUAAGCCCUCUCUUUCAGAAUUAGAAUUACAGUAGUCUUUUUCUUAUGUUUUUGGAAUUAGAAUUACAGAUUUGCUUGAAUUUGUUUCGAAUUUUACUCUGUUAUUGUAGUUGGGUACAAGGAAUAUAGCUUAGUUUCAUCUUCUUUGCUAAACUUAAUCAUGUGAAGCUUUUAUUAUUAAAUGAAAUAUAAAGUAUUUUCAUAGGACUAGCA